AUGAAUCAACUACAAAGGAAAAGAAGCUAUGGUGGUGGAGUUAUUAAACGGGAGGGGAACAUGUUUGCUGACACGACAGGCAUGGCAGUUGUGAUCCUCUAUCUUAUUACAACUGAAACUGAAAAUCCUAAGUAUAUGACGAAGUGUGACGGGGUUGAGAUGACCCAAACGAGCGUGCUAGAGAUCGAUGCCGGCGGAGAGAGCAACCGGUGCGGUGGUGGAGGAGGACGAAGAAAGCACCGGAUAGAGCUCGUCGAGGCUGUCACAUCGGUGAAGUACCAUCCUGGUUCGAGCGUCCUUGACACAAAAACCAAGCUCGUCAAAUUCAACAGUAACAGGUUUUUCACGAGUUAA
Molecule: ribosomal RNA, 354 nt
Filed under: Triticum aestivum (bread wheat)
Lineage: Eukaryota; Viridiplantae; Streptophyta; Magnoliopsida; Poales; Poaceae
Description: partial small subunit ribosomal RNA
Source: RNAcentral